This 520-nucleotide unclassified non-coding RNA is filed under the name uncultured Glomus. RNAcentral's name for it is "SSU rRNA". It matches the Rfam family "Eukaryotic small subunit ribosomal RNA", at positions 569 to 1090 of the family's 1831-position model. Lineage: Eukaryota; Fungi; Glomeromycota; Glomeromycetes; Glomerales; Glomeraceae. The record is from RNAcentral.
CGCAGCCGCGGUAAUUCCAGCUCCAAUAGCGUAUAUUAAAGUUGUUGCAGUUAAAAAGCUCGUAGUUGAAUUUCGGGAUCAGUAGGUUGGUCAUGCCUUUGGUAUGUACUGGUCUCACUGAUUCCUCCCUCUUGAAGAACUGUAAUGUCAUUAAUUUGGUGUUGCGGGGAAUCAGGACUGUUACUUUGAAAAAAUUAGAGUGUUUAAAGCAGGCUUACGCUUGAAUACAUUAGCAUGGAAUAAUGAAAUAGGACGUUUGAUCCUAUUUUGUUGGUUUCUAGGAUUGACGUAAUGAUUAAUAGGGAUAGUUGGGGGCAUUAGUAUUCAAUUGUCAGAGGUGAAAUUCUUGGAUUUAUUGAAGACUAACUACUGCGAAAGCAUUUGCCAAGGAUGUUUUCAUUAAUCAAGAACGAAAGUUAGGGGAUCGAAGACGAUCAGAUACCGUCGUAGUCUUAACCAUAAACUAUGCCGACUAGGGAUCGGAUGAUGUUAAUUUUUUAAUGACUCAUUCGGCGCCUUA